Molecule: ribosomal RNA, 251 nt
Filed under: uncultured prokaryote
Description: partial 16S rRNA
Rfam family: Bacterial small subunit ribosomal RNA
Source: RNAcentral
AAGUAGGGUGCAAGCGUUAAUCGGAAUUACUGGGCGUAAAGCGUGCGCAGGCGGUUAUUUAAGACAGAUGUGAAAUCCCCGGGCUAAACCUUGGAACUGCAUUUGUGACUGUAUAGCUAGAGUACGGGAGAGGGGGGUGGAAUUCCGAGUGUAGCGGUGAAAUGCGUAGAUAUGAGGAGGAACACCAAUGGCGAAGGCGACCUUCUGGACUUUAACUGACACUCAGGCACGAAAGCGUGGGGAGCAAACAG